RNAcentral lists this transfer RNA (76 nucleotides) under bacterium. RNAcentral's name for it is "tRNA-Lys". It matches the Rfam family "tRNA". Rfam says of the family: Transfer RNA (tRNA) molecules are approximately 80 nucleotides in length. Their secondary structure includes four short double-helical elements and three loops (D, anti-codon, and T loops). The record is from RNAcentral. RNAcentral also lists the same sequence under 3 other names.
GGGUCGUUAGCUCAGCUGGUAGAGCACCGGACUUUUAAUCCGUUGGUCCUGGGUUCGAACCCCAGACGACCCACCA